RNAcentral lists this long non-coding RNA (2959 nucleotides) under Malus domestica (apple). RNAcentral describes it as "long non-coding RNA (MDOM_LNC001557)". Lineage: Eukaryota; Viridiplantae; Streptophyta; Magnoliopsida; Rosales; Rosaceae. The record is from RNAcentral.
ACUUUCAUACUUCACGUACUAUUUUAUUACAAUCUCAUACAAUCUCUUUAAAACAUUUCACUUUCAUACCUUAUGUAUUAUUUUAUUUCAACAUAAUACCUCUGUUAGAUUUUUCAUCCAUUAAUCCGUUAAAUCCUGACGUGGCUGCCACAUUUGUGCUGAUGUGGCUGCCAUGUGGCAAUUUUUUUUUUUUUUUUAUAUGUACAUUAAAAAUAUUAUAAUAUUAACCCUAUUAAAAAAAAAGAAACUCAAACCCAAAAAUCCUUCCCCGCAACACCACAUCCCACCCCCACCCCUUACCCAUCUCUUCCUUCCCGUCCCUCCAUCCCCUCCACCCGAGCACCCCUCAGCUCGGGUCCCACCUUGACCUCUCUCUCUCUCUCCCCCUCCCUCUCUCUCUCUUCUGUAAAAUGUGGAAUGGUUUUUGAGGUCUAGUGCCUCGCCUCCCUCCCUCCUCCUGGACCCUUCCAACCUCGACCUCUCCUGCCUCGCCUCCCUCAACCUCCUGUCAUGUAUAUUAUAAUAUUAUAAUAUUUUUAAUGUAUAAAAAAUUAUUAUUUUUACCACAUGGCAGCCACAGCAGCACAAAUGGGCUGUCAUGUCAACAUUUAACGGAUUAAUAGAUGAAAAAUCUAACCGAUGUAUUAUGUUGAAAUAAAAUAAUACAUGGAGGUAUGAAAGUGAAAUAUUUUAAAAAGAUUGUAUGAGAUUGUAAUAAAUUUCAAACCUGAGGUGUUACCAUAUAAUUUACCCAAAAAAACCAAAACAACAAAACAGACAGCAAAAAGGUAAACAGAAUGCAUACCGAAAAAUCACCAAACAACAUCAAAUCAUAUAACGAAAAAUUCAUAGCAAAUCUGGAUGGAUUCGAACCACCAACCUCUCAAAAGCCCAGUCAAGGACCUUGAGCGCUCUACCAUUUUUGAGCUUACAGAUCUUCAUUUCAAGCAACGAGCAGGAGGCCGAAAUCGAUCAACAAAGUUUAACUUCUGAAUUUUCCAGCUUAAUUCUUUUCAGUAAGAAAUUUACAGUACAAGCAACUACUUGUCGACUUACGUUAUGUACAUAUGGUACAUCUAUUUAAAUGGGGGUAGUAGUCUACCAAAAAAAAAAAUCUAAGUUAAGCCCCGCAAUAAACCAACAAUAAUGUUGAGCCUUUGCAUAAUGAUGUUAGUUCAAAUCCCACAGUAAUCAACUUGGAGUCAAUUUAAGGCAAUUUAAGGCAAUUCAAGGCAAGCAUCCUUCCAUGAUGAAAAAAUGUUGAGCCUUUACAUAAUGAUGUUAGUUCAAAUCCCGUCGGUGACCAACCUAAAAUUUAAUCUUACAAAAUCUAUUACUUGACCAAAAUAAAAUAUAAUUUUAAGGUCCCCCAAAAAUUUAGGGCAUCCCUUUUCUCGUCUGAUAUAUAGAUCCAAAAAUUAACUUCUCCGAAGGCAUAAAAAAUACAAGUGUUCUAAGCAGAGCAACUAUUCCCCUCAAAAUUAACUUCUCCGAGGGCAUAAAAAAACAAGUGUUCCAAGCAAAGCAACUAUUCCCCAGCCCAAAAACAAAUUAUGCUGUUUCAAUUUUACAAUUAACUUGCAGUAACAAAUGAUUCCUGCAAAUUUUUAGCUUUAAGAUUUAUUUGGAUUUACUUUUAAAAUGAUUGAAAAAUGACUAAGAAUUGGUUCUAAAAAAUGACUAAAAAUACUUUCAGAAAAAAUAUUUUUUUGUUCCAAAAACACUUGAAAUACUUUCCGGAACAAGCACAUAUUGUGCUUCUUACAGGAAGCAAUUUAAAUGUAAAUGUUUUUUUUUCAGAAUUUACUUACAUUUUUACUACGAAUUGGUUACAAAAACAUUUUCACCAAAAACGCUUUCAAUCAUUUUAAAACCACAUCCAAACGAGCUUAGUUAAAGAGGUUGCAUCAUAUAAAGGAAGACAUCAUGAACUAAACGCCACCUUCUGUAAGUAAUAGUAAAUAGAAACUACAUAAUACAAACAUUGAACAACUACGCGGAGCUGUUUGAAAAAUAACCAAAAUCAUAACCCCUAAUUGUGAAUCGGGCAAUAUCAACAGACCACAAUUUGAUCUAUCAUCCAAGUACUAUAAAAACAACCCCAGUUUAACGAUAAUUCCUCCGCAAUUCCAUACAAACAACAAAACCAAGGGAAUAUAUUCAAUCUAAACUCUUUUAACAAAUGAAUAGAAUAAAUAAAUGAUAAUGCCAACACCUAUGAAUGAUCAAUCGCAAUGACUUGAAUCACAAAACGUAAAUUAACCGAAAACAUUACUUGCCAAUACUUCAAAAGCUUCUUGUAAAUUAACAGAAAACAUUACUUGCCAAUACUUAAAAGCUUUAGUUUCAUUGGUCACCUCAAAUCCUCAGAAAAGAGGUUGUCACGAAAAGAACUUCUGGACCUAUCCCACAACCAAGCAGCUUGUAUUUGAGCCGAAAUUUAGUUUAACUUGUAAUUGUGAUGAGAGGCUUCGUUCUGGCCAUUCGGGCUCGUCGAGCAGUAAUCUUCCGGCAUCAAAUCUCCCUAGAAUCAUCUAAUUGGAAUACAAUGCAUGGCUUACAGCAAUGGAAUCCAAAACCAACAUAAUUACAUAAUAUUACAAAGAUCCAUCAACUAACAGAUCUCACAAUAUCUAAUAACAUCCGUUAUAAACAAAUAUUAAGGCAAAGGCCAACAAUUUAGAUGAUAAUCUCAUCCUCAGCUCAUAGAAUUUGUACUACCAUAACAUUAAUAACGAGGCAAUAAACAGUGCAGAAGAGACUUUGGUAUCAUAAGAAUGACUUGUAAAAGUAAGCAGGAACGAAUCGGAGGUUUCGAGAAUUGUUUAGAAGGAUGAUAUAAGUACGUUUGUGCAUAAGUAGACAGAGAAAUUACCAACUAUAUCAAACAAAGUUUUGAUUCCAAAUUAUUUCUGUCCUUUCUUAUUCCAAACAAAGUUUUGAUUCCAAAUUAUUCCAA